This 130-nucleotide microRNA precursor is filed under the name Vigna radiata var. radiata (mung bean). RNAcentral's name for it is "mir-172 microRNA precursor family". It matches the Rfam family "mir-172 microRNA precursor family". From Rfam's summary of the family: mir-172 has been experimentally verified in Arabidopsis thaliana. This family is thought to target mRNAs coding for APETALA2-like transcription factors. Lineage: Eukaryota; Viridiplantae; Streptophyta; Magnoliopsida; Fabales; Fabaceae. The record is from Rfam by way of RNAcentral.
CUGAUUGCUGAUGGAGCAUCAUCAAGAUUCACAAGCUUCAAGGGGUUUUGUUUGGGGUGGUCCCUUAUUGCUCCCAAAUAAACUUACCCUUUUGAUAUGGGAAUCUUGAUGAUGCUGCAGCAGCAAUAAA